ACCACAUGACUCAGAUCUGGUACAUAUUUCUUCAACAUUGACACAUGAAAAACAUUGUGCACACUGGAUAAAGCCGGUGGUAAAGCCAAUCGAUACGCCACCUCCCCAACCUUGUCCAAAAUCUCAAACGGACCAACAUACUUAUAGCUCAAUUUACCAUGAACCCCAAAUCUCAUCACUCCUCUAGUGGGUGACACUCUCAAGAAAACAUGAUCCCCAAUUUAAAAUUUCAGUUUUCUCCUUCUAUUAUCAGCAUAAGUCUUUUGACGACUCUGAGCUGUACGAAGUCGUUCUCUGAUCACUUGCACCUUAUCUAUGGUCUAUUGCACUAUCUCUGCCCUAAUAAUUUUUCUCUCGCCCACAUCAUCCUAAUAAAUAGGAGAUCCAUGUUAAAACAUUCCAAGUCUAAGACCAACCAAGGAAUCAUCAACCAUUAACGUUAAAUUUAAGAUGCUCAAGAUUUUCUCAAAAAUUGUCGACAAUAGAAGAACCUACUGGUGAAAAUUACAUAGCUACCUCUAGAUCAUCCAUAGAAUCAACAACAUUCUCCUCUACUAGAAACUAACUCAAGUGUUCCAUCAUAAUAUCUUUUAGAUCAAAUAUUAAUGUCCUUAACCAGUUUCAAAAUAACUCAAAUCACCACACUUCCGCUGCGCACUCUGAUUUAAUCCAUUAAAUACUCUAAAGCCUCUUAAAUGAUUUAUGACCGAAAUAUCACUUGCACUAGGAGUAAGAAAAUCCAAAUUUCGAAACUUUAAUUGAGUAGAACCUCCAGAUCUCUCUAUCCUCAAUUUAUGUAGAGUAUACUUACCAUAACUAACCCCCGAUCCUUUAGUCAAGUUUAAGGUCACUAUGUGAUCUCCACAACCUUUUUAGAAUCCAAAAUAUCUAGGUUUAAUUUAAAGGGGGUAAUUCUUGUAUUCUCUUUGCAAUUUAAUUAGAAAAUCUACAUUGAUUUUCCUUCCAACAGAAUUUACCUCAAACUCAAUGGGUUAGAACUGUUGAGCCAAUAUCACUAUGAGUAGGAAUUNNN
This 1033-nucleotide long non-coding RNA is filed under the name Phoenix dactylifera (date palm). RNAcentral describes it as "long non-coding RNA (PDAC_LNC002965)". Lineage: Eukaryota; Viridiplantae; Streptophyta; Magnoliopsida; Arecales; Arecaceae. The record is from RNAcentral.